AGAUAUCAACUCUCCCAAACUCGUUCUUUUACUUGUCCACAAGUGAACUUUCUAGAACUCAUAGGGAGAGAGGUUUGAAGGUGGGAGCUCAUAGCCAAAAGAAACACAACUAGCACUCGAUUCAACAUCUAAUCCAACAUGAGCACACUCUCUUAUUACACUCUAGCUUCUCUAGGCCUGUCUCAACUCCUUUUGCCCUUAUACUCAUCAUCAAGCAU
This 218-nucleotide long non-coding RNA is filed under the name Brassica napus (rape). Its description in RNAcentral is "long non-coding RNA (BNAP_LNC011583)". Lineage: Eukaryota; Viridiplantae; Streptophyta; Magnoliopsida; Brassicales; Brassicaceae. The record is from RNAcentral.